Long non-coding RNA from Cavia porcellus (domestic guinea pig), 2287 nucleotides. RefSeq lists it as uncharacterized. The transcript has 2 exons. NCBI's taxonomy places the organism in Eukaryota, Metazoa, Chordata, Mammalia, Rodentia, Caviidae. The record is from RefSeq and is a predicted model, not a curated record.
GAGGCUUGAAAUCAAUCACAUGAAUUGGGCUAGAGCAAGGCCAGCCCCAAGAACACAGAGCAUCCAAGGUGAGCCAGAUAAACAAGCUAUUCCAGCCCCAAAAACACAAGAUGCUCAAGGCAAGUCAGGUAAAGAAGUCGUUAGGCAGAGGAAUUUCUCCUCCCAUCAACCUCUUGAGUGUAUAAAUAAGUGUACCGCAGUUGUUGGAUGUUCUGUUUCUCCCACCAGGAGAGGAGGCUCCACCUGACCUCAGCUUUCCACAUUUUGAUUCUUGUUUUCCUCUCUUCAUCCUCAACCAUCCUUCUGAGAAUUUCAAGAGCUGUUCUUGAUGCAACACAGCAAUAUAGAAGGAGCAGCACUGAUCAGCACCAAGAGCUUCCUCAGCUCACAGCUCACGUUAACCCCUCUCCAGUAGUGCUCACCUGGUCAUCAGGAAACCUCCGAACUCCUCCUCCCCAAGCCAUCAACAGCACAGGUGAAGUAAAGCAGACUCUGUAGCCCUGUUGCAUAUUGGUCUGCGUCGCACUUAAAAUAGCACCUCUGUUACUGGCCAGGUAGAAAGUGAGCCACCAGGUACCCAGAGGGAGCUGGAGUGUGCUGCUAACAGCCAGGGUAGAGGCGAGCAGUGCAGUGGCCCAGGCUGUAUGGAAACUUGAAAUCCUGUUGCCUCCUCUUUCCAGAGUGCUAGAGCUGCAGGUGUGUGUACCCUCGCAGCUCAGGGUAGUAUUUUUCCAAAAUUUAAGCUGACCAAGUCCUUUUCAACUGCAUGGGGUAAAAGAAUAAAUAUUUAUUUCAAGAUUAAAACUGAUAUUUUCAAAAUUUCUCCUUAAAUUAGUAAUAAUAAAAGUUCACUAAAAUACUAAUUUAAAAAUAGGAUACACAAACUCUCCUCAUUUUAAAUAGUAUUAAAGACAUGAUAAAUAUUGAUGAAAUGUAUAUUAUGUACAACUGGUUCCGUGCAUUAAAACCAAAACCAAUAAACCAGCUUUGGUACCACGCACUUUUAUUCCUAGCACUUGGCAGGAUUUGAGGCAGGAGGAUUGCUGUGUGUUGUGAGGCCAGCCUGGACUACGCAGUGAGUUCAAGGUCAGCCUGGACCCUAUAUCAAAAAAUACUAACAUAAAAACGAAGAGAAAUUCAUAUCGAAAGAAAAAAAUUGUUUAUUUUUUCAGGCAAGGUCUUGCUAUAUAGUUCAGAGUUGCAGUGAAUCCACUUAUGUAGCCCAAACUGGUCUUGAAAUCAUAGCGAUCCUCUUGACUCAGCCACUAUCCCCAGCUCACAUUUCCUUGUGUGAAUUGCAGAAUGCAAAUUUUUCAGAAGGCACAAAUGCUCUUCUAUUUAAACUUCUAUAAUGGCACAAAUUUACACAUAAACCCACAAGAUUAUGAUACUUAGCCACAGGCUGGGUGACACAUAACUUGGGACACAGCACACUGCACUGCCAGUUUCAGGAGAAGGACCACCUUCUGUCCCCAGGCAGAUCCUGCUGAUGACAGGCCAGGCAUGGCCCAGGACCUCCUUGCUGUAGAGUGAGAUUUCUUCUCCUUCAGACCAUUAGAAGGUCUCACUUCUCCUGCGCAUCCUGUAUAAUUUCUUUAAUUGACCCCGGCUCAGGCUAGCCUCAUCCUUGUCUACCAGCUGAGGCAUGGCAUCUCAGGCAUCAUUGCCACAGGACUGAACGUCAGCUUCUUGCUUGGUAGAACCAACCCCUCUGUGUCUAGGACCUUUAUGCACAUGGACAACAUGUUCUUGAACCCAGAUAGGGCACUCAGUGUUCUCUGGAAACACACAAACAUACCCUCAGCCUCAUAUGAGUAUUGGGCUGAGUCCUUUCCAUUAUUCAGCGUAAAUACCUGUCCAAAGGACCCUUCCUAACUUCCUUUCCUUACCCAGUUGAACUGUUUUUCUGUUGCUGUAGUCCCAUCCCUGCUAGAAUUUAGAAAGCUACUGGUAUAUAAUUCUGUGAUAGUUGAUACAUUGUGUCAAUUUGAGAAGUUUAAAAUCUUCAAUAAGGGCCUCAGCAGGAAGCCAGGAUCCUUACUUUGUAGAUAUCCUCAGGCUGUGCAAGAGAAGGACACAGAAGUGGUGUGAGUGCUACACUGCCCUGGGUGGUAGAGGUGGACUGAUUACAAUAUAAGGAAGAAGAGGCUCGUUUCCCCAUCCUUUUAUUAUGGCUUUUACUGGCUGCUGCCAUGAACUCUUGCUCCCUGCCAACCUGCUUGGAGCCAGCUGAUUAUGGACUGAAACCUCCACAAACUGGGAGCUAAAUAAAUCUUUCCUCUCUUCA